UAAAGAUAAUUUGAGAUUUUUUUACUACUCCUGAAUAUAACAAGAAGUGCUAUUAAAGGGGAACAAACAUCACUACAUCAACAAUUACCAAUGUUUCAUGAGCACUUUUUCCCAUUAAGGAAUUUAGUAAGAAACCAAACACUGAUUCUUCUUUUCAAAACUUCAUAUUCCCCUUUCAAUGUGUUUACCAAACUCUUCUAUAUAUAACUGAAAUCAGUACAAAAACAAGUGAGCUUAUUUGGAUCUCACAGGUUCAAGCGAUUUUUAACCCACCGCCGUUAGUCUCCGUUACUCCACUCGUUUGCUUCUUGCUGACAAUCUUACGGUAAUGUUUCUACUUUUGAGUUGGUAUUGUAUUAUGUAAUUAAGGGAUGCAUAGUUGCUUUCUCUUCAAACCUGAAACCUUUUCAACAUUCUUCAUUUGGAGUAUGUCACAAAUCCUACUCCCUCCUUUCCAAUUUAUAAUGCUCCCUCCAUUUUAUUUUAUAGGAUAGUUGAUUGGGCACAGAGUUUAAAGAACUGAUUAACUUUUAUAUAUUGUAUUAGUGAUUGUGGAAGAACAAUAUUGAAGUAAUGGUUGAAAAGAUAGUUUGAUGGAGAAAACAUCCUAUCAAAGUUGAAAAGAUGAAUAGUUUAAUUUAAUACUCUCUCCGUUUUAAUUUAUGUGAACCUAUUUGACUGGGCACAGAGUUUAAGAAAAGAAAGAAGACUUUUAAUUUUGUGUGACUAUAAAUCAUUGCAUAAAGCUAAAUUGUUUUCAAAUAAGGAAAUGAGUCAUUGACUAAAAAGUAAAUAGGUUCAGAUAAAUUAAAAAAGAGGGAGUAGUAUAUUUGAAAGCUUGAAAGUUGUAUAGAUAUGGAAUGACGUCGGAUGUUUUGGACAUCCUAAAAUGGAAAAACUUUCAUAAAAGUUGGAACGAAGGGAGUAUUAAAUUUCGAAAUGCUAGGGUGAGAGUAUCCGGUUUUUAUUUUAAUUUAGAUAUGAAUUCUUUAAUUUAUUGAAUUAAAACUUAGUUUCACAUAUGUAGAAACUACAUAAAUAGUACUAUAAGUCACAUAUUAUUGUGUAAUUCAAAAUACUUAAUAUAAAAUUUGAAUAGUUUGUAGUCAAAGGAACUGGAAGAGUUGCUUGAUUCCCAAAUAGUAUCUGUGUCAUAUAAAAUAAAACAAAGGAAGAACCGAACAAGGUGUAUGGUAACUUUGGUAGUAGAAUAUUGGAAGUACAAAAAGAACAUCGCAUUAAAUACAGUGAUAUUUGUUGAGGGGAGAUUCCUAAAUCAUAAAUUAGGUGGAAAUAACAAAUAUUAGUCAUGAGGGGGCAUAGUCAUGAAUUCCUAUUGCCUGGCAAUGAUUCUGUAUUGCUAUCUGAAGAACUUGACUCUCUUUAAGAUGCUUCAGUGAUUUGACUCUCAUUAGCAUUCACUCUUUUUCUUUUUUAAAUUCAUAUAUAUAUAUGAAGGUUCGAUUGGAAUCCCUAGAUUUUGGCUUAGUGAUUGAAAAUUCAUGAAUUCAAAAGCCCAGUUAUUACGUGAUAUUAAGUUCAUCAAGUGCGGGUGAAUUACAAUCGAAUGGUCUUAAUGGGCCCAAAAGUUUUCCUUGAGGAUCCAGUGGAUAAGGAGUAUAUGAUACAUUGAAAAAGUCUUUAGGUAGAGAGAGGUGCUAUGGAGAUAUAAACUGAUUUGAGGAAGGCCAUCUUCCUAUUUUGCAGCACUAUUGUAGGUACUCCUUCCAUUUCAGCCAUCCUAGUUCAAUUUUAUAUGCUAAAUCUCAUUUAUCAUGUUUCUCUUGCAAUAUCUAGUGCAUUACAUUCAAAUGCUUUUGUCAUUAUUAAAAUUUUAAAAAAAGAAGAAAUGUAGUUGCACAUGCUUUUUUGGGAAUAUUCAUGAGAUAUAUAACUAACAUUACGCUUGGCUAUAAAAUGCCUCUUUAUACAAAAUGCAUUCCUCCAAGCAUAAAUGUUUCUUAAGGACUUUUAUUAUUUGGUUCUAGACAUUUUGCUUGAAAUAGGGCCUGUCUAAUAUCGUCUUCCGUGUUAGAUAUUGUAUCACCUAUCUAAGCAAAGCAUUCAGUAGCUUAGCAGGGCAUAUUGCUUUUGAUGGGCGUGAAUGGUCCAUUGAAAUCACUUUCUGUUCCUCCUUUCACGUGCACGAGAAUAUGGACAAGGAAACACUCUCUUGGAUCCUUAUUUACUUUACUCUUUAUGAGCUGCUUAACGACAAAAGAUCUUCACAAGAGGCGUCACAAGCUAUAUAUGGCAGUAAUAGUGAGAGUAAAGUAUUUCAACUGCUACCUGGUGCAAAAAGAGUAAUCUGAAUUAACUCUUAUUCCUGCUUAUAUUAGUGUUUGGAUGUGUUCAUUAGCAACAUAAAAGGUUUGUCAGUGGAUACUUCCUUACACUGUUUUCCUUACUGAAAGUGGUACUGCAGGAGCUGCCGAUACUCAGACCUCUUCCAAUAGACUGAGCAAAUUCUGAAAUAGUUUAUUUGCUGGAUACAUCACCCUGUUUCCGGACUUCUUUCUGAAAAGAUCUUUCAUACAACUAGCCUAUAUUUUACAGUGCUAAUUGAUGAGGAAAAUUAGCCUGUAGCUUAUCUAUCCACAUUAAUUGCUUGUAAAGUUACGAAUAGCAUGUUUUGCUCCAUGUCAUCUCAACAGUCUGUCUGCCGUACUAUUUUCAUUUUUCACAUCUCUCGAAUUUUCUGAAUUCUUUCUACUACCUUAUGUUAUGUUUAAUUAUGCAGAUUCUAUAUGUCAAUAUAACUGCAAAAACGAAAUUUAUUUGCUUUUUUGGAGUAAUAGGCAUCUCGUUCUUAUGCUUACUAAUACUCUAAUAGCCUUGUAUAAAUGAAGUCAAGUUGAUCUUCAAACAUACAGGCUCUCUAGACUAGUGGGUGCAGUCGAAAUGCAGAACUUUCUUUCUGUUGUCGUUAUUUGAAUGAUAAAAAUGCUGUGGGUACGUAGUUUUCCUUUUCUUGGAUUUACCACUGCCUGCUCAGAUGGAACAUCAUAUGUCAGGCCUAUUAAUCAAGAAAGGCUUCAUUGCCAGCAUCCUUUUCUACGUUCUAAAUGCAUAUGAUGCAGCAAGUGUCUAUCCUAUUAUCUUGCAUAGAGAAGUGUUACAGCCACGUACAUUUACUACCUGUCAUGGCCUUGCUGGGUAUGGUACAACAUUCUGUUUCACCUGAUGCUAUGUGGGUCGAUAUAUUAAACUGUUUAUACAAUUAGAAGCAGUUCUUCAUAUCAUACUAUCUUCUGAAUCUGUCAUCAAACAUAUACUGUUCUCUAUUUAUUGUUUUAUGAGUAAGGUUUUGUUGAUUGUAUUUGUUCUGAAACCUAGAAAAUAAUCCUUUGACAUGAUUAUACAUCUGCCAGAUUUACGAUGAUAAUAAAUAAGUUAAUUAGGUAAUAAUCUAGAAGAAAAGAGUUCUCAGGGAAACAAGUUAUUUAUACAUCUACUCAUUGCUCUUUUUCUUAGUAUCUUUUUUUUCUUCUAUAAAUAUUUCGUCUUCGAUAUAUAAACAAAGAGUUCUUUUCCUACUUUGUAAAACAUCUCUCUUAUUUAUGUGCGAAAGUAGGUAUGCUCUUUAAUAGAAUCUAUAAAUAACCUAUGUAUCUAUCCAGAAAGCUUCUUGUUGUAUAUGUUAGUUUCAAUGAGUAGUAUUGGAGCAUGCUAAAGGAUGAACUUCUUGGAGUAUUAGCAAUAUGUUUCAUCCAUGCUUUUGGAGUUGUAACUGUGAACUUAAAGUGCUUUUGCAUUGGAUUCCACAGCUUUUGGAUGCACAAACGUGUUAAACUACACUGCCCUCUCGCUAGAUUGUCUUAAUUAAAGGGUCAUAUCUAACUGUAAAAAUAAUCUGAGGUACCCUGUAGUUUCAUAUGCUGUUAGAAAAAUGUACCUUAUGUUGGUUAGUUCACUAUUGAUUUUAAAUGGUAUUGCCAAGUGGCUUUUGAAAGAACUCAUAUUGUUUGUAUUCUCUAUGUUUAUAUCAAAGUACUUAAUUUAUGUUUUCUCCAGAGAAAUCUUAAUAGAAAAGGGAUAAUUGAUCAUUGAAAACUAUGAAGUAAUUAAGGGUCAGAAAAUAAUACAUGCGUGUCAUUGCUUAUUUAUUUUACUAGUUCAUUUCCAAGUUAAAAAGAACGCAUGAAACUAUAAGUGUUGCUUCAUCAUUAACUAUAACAAUAUAAAGAAAAGAAUUUAGGAAUGAACUAAUUCAUAAACUAACGGCAAUAGGUAAACAUACAGACCUGAGGUGAUGCCAUGACAUUAGUAUUCUAGGGUGUUUCCCUAGCAUUACCACUGCCCAUCUUUUUCUUUUUCUUUCUUUUGUUUCUAUUUUCAUUCUCUUAUUCUUCGCAUUGCAACUUUACAUAGUAUUGAUAAAUAUUGUCUGUUUCAUGCUAUCUAUAUGUGACGAAUUUCCAGUGCCUGGUCUCAAAUCACUCAUCUUAAUUUUGGCUUAUAUCCUUCUUCGCGACAGCUUCUGUUGAAGUCUCUAAUUGCGACAACACAAGCAGCACUCAUAUUUAAAACCUCCAAUAACCUUGAGCUUGGACCGAGACCAGAAACAAGCAUUGCUUCAGCUGCAUGGAGGUGGCUGAGGUUUCUUUGCUUUCAUUUGGUCUGCAGCAGGACUGGGGCCAAGGGUAAGUUCAAGUUCAGGUAUUUGAUUAAUUCUUGCUGCUGCUAGUCUCUGUUUUAGCUCAGUAUACAAAGCCUGGUUCUCCUGUCUCAGCCGUUGAGCAGUCUUCCUUAGCCUGUCAUUCUCCCGCAUAAUCUGAAUAUUCUGCCAGUACAGGUCUAAAUUCUGUUUCUCCAUAAAUCAAAUGCUUGAGUUGGCCUGAAACGGAAGAACCAUCAAGAAUUAUGAAGGUGUUUGCAAGAUAUAUUUGGAAAACAUAGCCUAACAUAGUAUGUAAAAAAGAGCAGAUGAUGAAAUAGUAAACUUCUUCUCUUAUCUAUAUAUGCAUGGCAUAAGUUUAAACACAGGUCGCACAGCAUUACAGAAAAUUAAUAAGAAGUUAUAGAAGAUAGAGAUGAUCAAA
Non-coding RNA from Nicotiana tabacum (common tobacco), 5042 nucleotides. The record is from RefSeq and is a predicted model, not a curated record. NCBI's taxonomy places the organism in Eukaryota, Viridiplantae, Streptophyta, Magnoliopsida, Solanales, Solanaceae.